Nasonia vitripennis (jewel wasp) is the source of this 912-nucleotide long non-coding RNA. RefSeq lists it as uncharacterized. The record is from RefSeq and is a predicted model, not a curated record. The transcript has 2 exons. Lineage: Eukaryota; Metazoa; Arthropoda; Insecta; Hymenoptera; Pteromalidae.
AUGCUCUCUAAAGUAUGGUAAGGAUAAGAUUAAUAGCUAUGUGUGUGUGUGCACAUGGAUAUACACUUUCGCACAGGAAGACAACCAUUAUUUUACGCAUCCACCGAUGAACUAUACUACGGCUAAAAACGAAAUUGCGAAACCGACAAUCGCCACUUGCUUUCGGACUGGCACAGGCGCUUGACGCUAAUUUGUUCGCUGAACUGCUACUCGGUACAGUUGCUAGUUUUAUAACCGACGCUUCGAGAACGUUCUCUUUUACGCGUUUUUUGUUGUUGUUGUAUUCAUUUGGAAUUUCGAAUAAACACCUGAAACCGCAUAGUCACGUGACAAAGGCUGUGCUGACCAACAAGCAUCCUAGAACUCACCUGCAGUCUGCAUAGAUAUUGUAUUACAACGUUCAAGGAACAAAAGAUGUCCCGUCGGCUUUUCAUUGUCAUCGCUCUUCUAGUAAUACUCAUCGCAGCAGCCUCUGCCCAGUAUCAGCAAUACGUCCUGAGCGAUCAAGUCAAGCAUAAUUUUCGUCAAAUUUCGAUUGAUCCGAACUAUCGAAACGUAGAUGCAGAAGCAAAAGCAUUGCUCCAGAAUCAUCCAACCAUCUUAGUUGGGCCGGGAAGGCCUCGGCCUCCACCGUAUACAAAACCGCAGGAUCUGAAUACGAAUUAAAGCGGUUGAGACAAAUGUCAUUUUCGCCCAAUUGUGACAGACAUGUCAUACAUAGGUAUAUCUUGUGCAACGCCGCUCGAGAAUUUAUGCGUCGAGUGACUAUUGUUUUAGUGACAAUCUCAACACCCGUGUCGACAGGAUGUUACAUCACAGAUAUUCAUCUAUGCGAAAUUAAAAAGACAAAGGUGAUUUUCAUCCAUGAAAACCUUUUUGUUAAGCAACAAUAAAACAUGAACAUCAGCGUAA